GCCGUAUCUUCAGCCCCCAGGAGAAGCAGCGCGAGACUGUGGAGAGGUCCCCUCGCCAGCUGCGUGGGGCGGCCAGAGCGCAGUUAGCUAAAGGCUAUGGACGCCCGGCCCGCCCAGGCCAUCUUCAGGGUGCCCGGGAGCACCUGCGCGCCCCAGCCCAGCCCCGCCACCUUCAUGGAUUCUGCCUUCAGAAGCAUGUGAAAUAGAUUACUCCAUUUAAACCAGGAAAAUAGUAGCACGAUUUCCUGGCUCUCCAGACCUUUCCCAGAAUGGAUGCAAUCACGUUCACAGCGAGGAAGCAUCCACUUCCUAAUGAGCUCUCGGUAGACUUUGGUUUGCAGCUGGUGGGCGCCUUACCUGUGCAUUCUCUCACCACUAUGCCCAUGCUGCCAUGGGUGGUGGCCGAAGUACGAAGACUCAGCGGCCAGGGCUCCAAAAAGGAGCCUGGGAUCAAGCAAGUCCGGCUUUGGGUUUCACCCUCUGGACUGAGAUGUGAACCUGACCUGAGGAAAAGUCAACAAUGGGACCCGCUGAUCUGUUCCAGCAUCUUUGAGUGCAAGCCUCAGCGUGUUCACAAACUGAUUCACAACAGUCACGACCCCAGUUACUUUGCUUGUCUCAUUAAGGAGGAUGCUGCCAACAGGCAGAGCCUCUGCUAUGUGUUUAAAGCAGACGAUCAAACUAAAGUCUAAGGAUUCAACCCUUAUCCUGGAGCUAAUUCUGUGGUGGAAUUGACUAUACAAGUAACCUUUGCCUUGGGUCAGCUGGUCAACGGUGUCUACUGGGUGUGGGUAUCUUCUCCCACCCAACCAUGGUGCUCUUUACUAGGUGAACUGAAUUUCUUCUACCCAUGAAGACUUCAUAUUGAAUAAAUGCUAGGGCCCCUCUUCUGGAAGAUUCGUUAUCUCUGAACUUGGGCCAAAUACCAUAGGCAUAGCUUAUGACAAGACAGAAGUAUUUCUGGAAUAAGACACCCUGGACUUAUCCUACAUUUUCCCAUUUAAUAGCUAUGUAAUCUUGAACAGACUGUCUAACUGCUUAUAUCUGGUCUCUUAAAGCUAUUGUUAAUGCUCAAAUAUUUUAAGUGCUUGCAUUUUUAGUGCUUAAAUGUAUAGUUUAUAACUUAAUGUCUGGUACCUACUAAAUACAUACAUGUUAUCUGCUAGAGGAUAAACGCAAUAAAUAUUUUUGGAUAAACGAAUUAAUCAAUGAACUCCUCAGCUUUCAGCCCCACCACCUGUUAAUAAAGAGUUCUAGUUGUCUAAUAACUCCCCAGCUCUAAUGCCUUUGCUUGCUUGGUUGUGAUGAGAUUAGUAAUUAUGAUGUUCUUUGGUUACAUUAUUACUACUAUUAUGAGGAUGCUAAAAAUUGGAUCCAAAAAAGGGAAUGUUUCAGAAAUGACUGAAGUCCACAGAUAAGGUGUAUCUUGUGGUCAGCACAGUGU
This 1444-nucleotide long non-coding RNA is filed under the name Cricetulus griseus (Chinese hamster). RNAcentral's name for it is "lncRNA (ENSCGRG00000025364.1)". Lineage: Eukaryota; Metazoa; Chordata; Mammalia; Rodentia; Cricetidae. The record is from RNAcentral.